CUGUAGCUAAUACUUGCUUUAUUAUCCUUUGAUUCCUUUCUUUGGAUAAGUAUUUGUUAGGCCUUAUAAGAAAAAAGUUAUUAUCUUAGGGAAUUAUAACAAAGAAGUAACACGUAAUAAAUUUAUUUUAUUUAUGGGGAAUCAUUCAAGUUUCUAACCUAUCACCUUUUGUUGUUAGGGUUUUGCCCUACCUUGCCUUUAACGGGAACGGGGAAUUUAAAGUCCAAUCCCGAAAAGGGGCCUGAAAAAUAACCACCCCCUCCUAAGGAAGGCGCAAGGCCCUAAAUUACCCAAUUCUUAAAAAAAAAAGGAAGGAACAAAAAAAACCAUUGCAAGGCCAAUUGGUGGUUUUGUUGUUAUGAUGGGAAUUUUUUACCUUCCUCCCACUCAAUUGGAUGGAAGGCAAGGCGCCAGCCCCGCCCGCAUUCCUUCCCCCUCCAAUAAUAUUAUAUUUGUUUCUUGCAAUUAAAACGCUCGUGAAUGAAUUUCAAACAAUCUUUUUUUUAUUGCUUCUAUUCUAAUCCAACUACUGAUACUGCGGAUCGACUUUGUGCGCAUUUUGCUAUUAUGUGUUCUUGUAAUUAAAAUGAUUCUUUUUAGGACUUUCUUUGCUUCGGCUUGGAAA
Molecule: ribosomal RNA, 625 nt
Filed under: Plasmodium falciparum (malaria parasite P. falciparum)
Lineage: Eukaryota; Apicomplexa; Aconoidasida; Haemosporida; Plasmodiidae
Description: partial small subunit ribosomal RNA
Rfam family: Eukaryotic small subunit ribosomal RNA
Source: RNAcentral